This 507-nucleotide long non-coding RNA is filed under the name Homo sapiens (human). RNAcentral describes it as "HSALNT0313962". Lineage: Eukaryota; Metazoa; Chordata; Mammalia; Primates; Hominidae. The record is from RNAcentral.
AACUGUGAGCCAAGUAAACCUCUUCUCUUUAUAAAUUACCCAGUUUCGUGUAUUUGUUUAUAGCAGUAUGAGAAGGGACUGAUACACUCACCUAAUCAAUUAUUCCCUCUCUAACCACUUCCCUCUACCCAAAUUCAUCCUCUGAUGUGCAACCAUCAAGCAUAGAUGGUAUUCUCCAAUGGGGAGUGCUUGAGUACAGAAAUUAUGUGGUCCUGUGAUCUUACUAGUGUGUUUAUUUUCUAAGCAGGGAAAUUAUUUGAGGAAGUGACCACAGAUGAAACUGUUUCCAGAUGUCUACAAAGGUUUUUGGGUUUUGUGGGGACUGAAGUACAGCAGGAAGCAGCAUAAGCAGACAGAAAGAAGCCUUAGUGUGAUUGAACGAACAUAGAGAAAGAAGAGCCAGGAACCACAGAGACAGCAAAGUAAUGGUCAGACACACAACCCUGGAGCCUGCCCAACUUGUGUACCUCUUAUUAUGUGAGAUAAUAAAAGUCUUCAUUGUGUAAA